AGUGAACGCUGGCGGUAGGCCUAACACAUGCAAGUCGAACGGCAGCACAGUAAGAGCUUGCUCUUACGGGUGGCGAGUGGCGGACGGGUGAGGAAUACAUCGGAAUCUACUUUUUCGUGGGGGAUAACGUAGGGAAACUUACGCUAAUACCGCAUACGACCUACGGGUGAAAGCAGGGGAUCUUCGGACCUUGCGCGAUUGAAUGAGCCGAUGUCGGAUUAGCUAGUUGGCGGGGUAAAGGCCCACCAAGGCGACGAUCCGUAGCUGGUCUGAGAGGAUGAUCAGCCACACUGGAACUGAGACACGGUCCAGACUCCUACGGGAGGCAGCAGUGGGGAAUAUUGGACAAUGGGCGCAAGCCUGAUCCAGCCAUACCGCGUGGGUGAAGAAGGCCUUCGGGUUGUAAAGCCCUUUUGUUGGGAAAGAAAAGCAGCAGGUUAAUACCCCGCUGUUCUGACGGUACCCAAAGUAUAAGCACCGGCUAACUUCGUG
This 492-nucleotide ribosomal RNA is filed under the name uncultured bacterium. Its description in RNAcentral is "partial 16S ribosomal RNA". It matches the Rfam family "Bacterial small subunit ribosomal RNA", at positions 29 to 507 of the family's 1533-position model. The record is from RNAcentral.